Long non-coding RNA from Nothobranchius furzeri (turquoise killifish), 1693 nucleotides. The record is from Ensembl. Lineage: Eukaryota; Metazoa; Chordata; Actinopteri; Cyprinodontiformes; Nothobranchiidae.
CGAUCCUCUGCAGUUUAGGAGUAUUAACCAAGAGAAUUACCGUAGCGACCCCUCCUCGUUUCUCGGAAACAUGUUGAUGUUGUUUGUGACAGUCUUCGGGCUUUCAUGGGGUUUCUCCUCUGGUAACUUGCUUUCAGCAACAGCUUGCUAUGGCAAGAGUGUUGAGCUUCCAUCUUAUCCCUUCACAACUAUUAAAGGUCCAUUGUAUUUUAUCCCAAGCGAUCGUAGCCUCGGAAGGAUGGUGAUGGAUGAAGGAAAGCCCAAGGACCCACGCAUCACAUAUCUCCGUUCCAGGUUUCACCUUACAAAUUUAACUAAAGAAGAUGAUGGGUAUUUUUCCACCAGACAAGAUGGAUUGGGGUUUUCCAGGCUGUUCAGAUUGGAAAUAUCAGAUUGUGCUGAAAAGUUUUACCGGGGUUAUAUGGAUACGCUGGUGUAUAACAUCCCUUCAGUAGCUCAUUUCAUGGAGUUCACUCCACAGCUAGCCAGUCGGCACAAGCCAAUGAUCCUGUGGAAUCGCACGGCCUUUCAGAGCCAUGAUGAAAGAAGAGGAACAGUCAAGAGUAAUACCUGGAAGAUCUCCCAACUCACUCAGGCAGACAACGGCUACUACAUCUUUAGGCAAAAUGACAGCAAGCUGGAGUCAAUAGUACAUCUCACAGUAAAAGAAAAAACCCUUGAUUAUGAACGGAACACAGGGCAAACUCUAUUUAUCCCGUAUCCUACAUCUGGUGGACCAUGGACGGUCGUAUUUAAGCCUGAGAUGACAAAUAUACCUGAGAAAAUGCUUAAAGAUGGCCAACUGGUCUGGACAAAUAACCGGUUCUCUGGGAGAAUUAAAGCUCAGGAUGAUGGUUUGGAAAUAGAUUUUUUGGAAAGCAAAGAUUCUGGCUCCUUUGAAUUCAGAGACCUAAAAGGUAACUUGGCCUUGAUUGUCGAGGUGGAAGUCAACCAAAGUGAAAGCCCCAAUCAUGCAGUAGUUGCAUAUGCCGCUAUGAGUGUCGGGGCUCUCCUAGCAGGGAUUUGCUGUUGCUGCUGUUGUAAAAAAUGUUGCUGUAAAAAAGGUUCUGCGCCUCAGACAGAAGCAGCACCUGCUGUGACUUAUCAUGACAAGACACCCAGGACUGCGACUUCACCUCCUGUGUAUUAUCAUAAUGUAAAUCCACAAACAGGCCCAGUCUGUCCAGCUGCAACAAAUCCUUCAGUUUUCCCUCAUCAGCCACCAUACCAGCCUGUAACCAUCUACCCUACUCAGCCUGGCAUCAGCGUGUACCCACCUCCGUCGGGACUGAACCCACCUCAGCCUGGCAUCAGCGUGAACCCACCUCCGUCUGGACUGAACCCACCUCAGCCUGGCAUCAGCGUGUAUCCACCUCAGCCUAGCAUCAGCUUGCACCCACCUCCGUCUGGACUGAACCCACCUCAGCCUGGCAUCAGCGUGUAUCCACCUCAGCCUGGCAUCGACAUUCACCCCCAUCAGCCUGGUACCAAUGUGAACCCUUUACAACCUGAGGUUUCUCUUCCAACAGAUCAGGGAUCUGCAGCGGUUCCUACGUUCAACUUGGAGUUUCUCUCCUCAGAUCCUGAUACCAGAUUUGAGCUGAAAGGACCAAAUGUUCCCUCUGCUCCUCCUCUCAGUUCUGAAACUCCGUCUAGUUAUGUUUACAAUUCAGAUAAACUCAACUUUCUUUAA